Molecule: ribosomal RNA, 497 nt
Filed under: uncultured bacterium
Lineage: Bacteria
Description: partial 16S ribosomal RNA
Rfam family: Bacterial small subunit ribosomal RNA
Source: RNAcentral
GAUGAACGCUGGCGGCGUGCCUAAUACAUGCAAGUCGAGCGAACAGACGAGGAGCUUGCUCCUUUGAAGUUAGCGGCGGACGGGUGAGUAACACGUGGAUAACCUACCUAUAAGACUGGGAUAACUUCGGGAAACCGGAGCUAAUACCGGAUAACAUGUUGAACCGCAUGGUUCAACAGUGAAAGACGGUCUUGCUGUCACUUAUAGAUGGAUCCGCGCCGCAUUAGCUAGUUGGUAAGGUAACGGCUUACCAAGGCAACGAUGCGUAGCCGACCUGAGAGGGUGAUCGGCCACACUGGAACUGAGACACGGUCCAGACUCCUACGGGAGGCAGCAGUAGGGAAUCUUCCGCAAUGGGCGAAAGCCUGACGGAGCAACGCCGCGUGAGUGAAGAAGGUCUUCGGAUCGUAAAACUCUGUUAUUAGGGAAGAACAAAUGUGUAAGUAACUAUGCACGUCUUGACGGUACCUAAUCAGAAAGCCACGGCUAACUACGUG